CCCCUCUCAGGAUCACACCUGGAGAGUUUCCAGUACUCUACCAGUCUCAGCUAUGGGAGGGAGAGUUGAGCAGAGUCAUACCCAUUCCAUUCCUGGCUUGAGCAGGGGCUGGCAAGUGGAAGGCCAUCGGCUACAAGU
This is a small nucleolar RNA of Ornithorhynchus anatinus (platypus), 138 nucleotides long. The record is from RefSeq and is a predicted model, not a curated record. Lineage: Eukaryota; Metazoa; Chordata; Mammalia; Monotremata; Ornithorhynchidae.